Molecule: ribosomal RNA, 707 nt
Filed under: uncultured bacterium
Lineage: Bacteria
Description: bacterial SSU rRNA
Rfam family: Bacterial small subunit ribosomal RNA
Source: RNAcentral
AGAGUUUGAUCCUGGCUCAGAAUCAACGUUGGCGGCGCGCUUAACACAUGCAAGUCGAACGAGAAAGUGGAGCAAUCCAUGAGUAAAGUGGCGUACGGGUGAGUAACACGUGGGUAUCCAUUCUUUGGUGGGGAAUAACUUUGGGAAACCGAAGCUAAUACCGCAUAAGUCCGAGAGGAGAAAGGUGAAAAUCGCCGAAGAGGGAGCCCGCGGCUGAUUAGCUAGUUGGUGAGGUAACGGCCCACCAAGGCGAAGAUCGGUAGCCGGCCUGAGAGGGCACACGGCCACACUGGCACUGGGACACGGGCCAGACUCCUACGGGAGGCAGCAGUGGGGAAUCUUGCACAAUGGGGGAAACCCUGAUGCAGCGACGCCGCGUGAACGAUGAAGCCCUUCGGGGUGUAAAGUUCUUUCGGCAGGAACGAUAAUGACGGUACCUGAAGAAGAAGCUGCGGCUAACUACGUGCCAGCAGCCGCGGUAAUACGUAGGCAGCAAACGUUGUUCGGAGUUACUGGGCGUAAAGAGUACGUAGGCGGUUUGCCAAGUUUGGUGUGAAAUCUCCUGGCUUAACUGGGAGGGUGCGCCGAAUACUGGCGGGCUUGAGUAUUGGAGAGGAAAGCGGAAUUCCUGGUGUAGCGGUGAAAUGCGUAGAUAUCAGGAGGAACACCGGUGGUGUAGACNGCUUUCUGGACAAUCACUGACGCUG